This 28-nucleotide non-coding RNA is filed under the name Mus musculus (house mouse). Lineage: Eukaryota; Metazoa; Chordata; Mammalia; Rodentia; Muridae. The record is from RNAcentral.
UGCUGAAGCAGGUCAAGCUACCAUUGUG